This 74-nucleotide transfer RNA is filed under the name Actinomycetes bacterium. RNAcentral describes it as "tRNA-Arg". It matches the Rfam family "tRNA". Rfam says of the family: Transfer RNA (tRNA) molecules are approximately 80 nucleotides in length. Their secondary structure includes four short double-helical elements and three loops (D, anti-codon, and T loops). Lineage: Bacteria; Bacillati; Actinomycetota; Actinomycetes. RNAcentral also lists the same sequence under 7 other names. The record is from RNAcentral.
GUCCCCGUAGCUCAGUGGAUAGAGCAACCGCCUCCUAAGCGGUAGGUCGCAGGUUCAACUCCCGCCGGGGACAC